AUCAGCCUGUAGGUAGUGUAAAGGACUACCUAGCGAUAACGGGUACCGGCGAUGUAAGUCGGAGCCGGGAGAAGGACACUUAGACAAGGGUCCUGGCACUACGGUGCGCAGCAAGCGCGAAACCUCUGCAAUACGCGAAAGCGUGACAGGGUAACCCCCAGUGCCCGCCUCUAAAGCGGGCUUUUCUUCAGCUUAGGGACCUGAAGGAAUAAGGCGAGGGCAAGGCUGGUGCCAGCCGCCGCGGUAAAACCAGCUCGUCAAGUGGUCAGGACCAUUAUUGAGGCUAAAGCGUCCGUAGAUGUUCUAGCAAACUCCUGGUUAAAUCCGUCUGCUCAACAGACGGGCUGCUAGGGGGACUACUAGAAUAGGAGACGGGAGAGGUCGAGGGUACUACGCGGGAAGGGGUGGAAUCCUAUAAUCCGUGUGGGACCACCAGUGGCGAAGGCGCUCGGCUAGAACGUGCUCGACAUUGAGGGACGAAACCUGAGGGAGAGAUCCGGAUUAGAUACCCGGGUAUUCUCAGGUGUAAACGAUGCCGGUUAGGUGUUGGCCCGGCCUAGA
Molecule: ribosomal RNA, 561 nt
Filed under: uncultured crenarchaeote
Lineage: Archaea; Thermoproteati; Thermoproteota
Description: bacterial SSU rRNA
Rfam family: Archaeal small subunit ribosomal RNA
Source: RNAcentral